Molecule: unclassified non-coding RNA, 263 nt
Filed under: plant metagenome
Description: partial contains small subunit ribosomal RNA, internal transcribed spacer 1, and 5.8S ribosomal RNA
Source: RNAcentral
UUUCCGUAGGUGAACCUGCGGAAGGAUCAUUAUUGUAUAACCGAGGUGCGAGGGCUGUCGCUGAUCCGUCAGGUCGUUCACGCCCGAGUGCCCUCACCCACAUCCAUCUCACCCCUAUGUGCACCACCGCGUGGGUCCCCCUUUGGCUUGUUCGGAGGUGGGCUUACGUUUUCACACAAACUUUGUAUGCAGUGUAGAAUGUAUUUUUUGUUUUUGCGAUCACGCAAUCAAUACAACUUUCAACAACGGAUCUCUUGGCUCUC